AGUGAACGCUGGCGGUAUGCCUAACACAUGCAAGUCGAACGGCAGCACAGUAAGAGCUUGCUCUUACGGGUGUCGAGUGGCGGACGGUGGAGUAAGACAUCGGAUUCUACUUUUUCGGGGGUGAUAACGUAGGGAAACUUACUCUAAUACCGCAUACGUCGUACUUGGGAAAGCAGGGGAUCUUCUGACCUUUCGCUAUUGAAUGAGCCGAUGUCGGAUUAGCUAGUUGGCGGGGUAAAGGCACACCAAGGCGACGAUCCGUAGCUGGUAUGAGAGGAUGAUUAGCCACCCUGGAACUGAGAAACGGUCGAGACUCCUACGGGAGGCAGCAGUGGGGAAUAUUGGACAAAGGGGGAAAGCCUGAUACAGCAAUACCGCGUGGGUGCAGAAGGACUUAGGGUUGUAAAGCCAUUUUGUUGGGAAAGAAAAGAAGCAGGUUAAUACCCCGCUGUUAUGACGGUACCGAAAGAAUAAGCACCGGCUAACUUCGUG
This 492-nucleotide ribosomal RNA is filed under the name uncultured bacterium. RNAcentral's name for it is "partial 16S ribosomal RNA". It matches the Rfam family "Bacterial small subunit ribosomal RNA", at positions 29 to 507 of the family's 1533-position model. The record is from RNAcentral.